This 253-nucleotide ribosomal RNA is filed under the name uncultured bacterium. RNAcentral's name for it is "partial 16S ribosomal RNA". It matches the Rfam family "Bacterial small subunit ribosomal RNA", at positions 524 to 776 of the family's 1533-position model. The record is from RNAcentral.
UACGUAGGGUGCAGGCGUUAAUCGGAAUUACUGGGCGUAAAGCGUGCGCAGGCGGUUUCUUAAGUCAGAUGUGAAAGCCCCGGGCUUAACCUGGGAACUGCGUUUGAAACUGGGAGACUUGAGUGUGGCAGAGGGGGGUGGAAUUCCACGUGUAGCAGUGAAAUGCGUAGAUAUGUGGAGGAACACCGAUGGCGAAGGCAGCUCGCUGGGACGUGACUGACGCUGAGACGCGAAAGCGUGGGGAGCAAACAGG